GCGGACGUGGUGAAAUUGGCAGACACGCUAGAUUUAGGUUCUAGUGAGAAAAUCUCGUGAGAGUUCAAGUCUCUCCGUCCGCA
This 83-nucleotide transfer RNA is filed under the name Bostrychia simpliciuscula. RNAcentral's name for it is "tRNA-Leu". It matches the Rfam family "tRNA". From Rfam's summary of the family: Transfer RNA (tRNA) molecules are approximately 80 nucleotides in length. Their secondary structure includes four short double-helical elements and three loops (D, anti-codon, and T loops). Lineage: Eukaryota; Rhodophyta; Florideophyceae; Ceramiales; Rhodomelaceae. The record is from RNAcentral.